UACGAAGGGUGCUAGCGUUGUUCGGAAUCACUGGGCGUAAAGCGCGCGUAGGCGGCGUCGCAAGUCAGAGGUGAAAGCCUGGAGCUCAACUCCAGAAUUGCCUUUGAUACUGAGGAUCUUGAGUUCGGGAGAGGUGAGUGGAACUGCGAGUGUAGAGGUGAAAUUCGUAGAUAUUCGCAAGAACACCAGUGGCGAAGGCGGCUCACUGGCCCGAUACUGACGCUGAGGCACGAAAGCGUGGGGAGCAAACAGG
RNAcentral lists this ribosomal RNA (253 nucleotides) under uncultured bacterium. Its description in RNAcentral is "partial 16S ribosomal RNA". It matches the Rfam family "Bacterial small subunit ribosomal RNA", at positions 524 to 776 of the family's 1533-position model. The record is from RNAcentral.